RNAcentral lists this transfer RNA (64 nucleotides) under Trigonopterus sp. 3 AH-2016. RNAcentral describes it as "tRNA-His". The record is from RNAcentral. Lineage: Eukaryota; Metazoa; Arthropoda; Insecta; Coleoptera; Curculionidae.
AUUUAAAUAGUUUAUAAAAAAUAUCGAUGUGUGGUGUCGGAGAAGUAGAUUUAUACGUUAAGUA